Non-coding RNA from Nematostella vectensis (starlet sea anemone), 68 nucleotides. NCBI's taxonomy places the organism in Eukaryota, Metazoa, Cnidaria, Anthozoa, Actiniaria, Edwardsiidae. The record is from Rfam.
CAUAAUCAACGAGAGUGACAACCUGCCGCGAAGGUCUAUGAGUGGUCUGCUGCUCCUCUUUGUGAAGC